This 468-nucleotide ribosomal RNA is filed under the name uncultured bacterium. RNAcentral's name for it is "partial 16S ribosomal RNA". It matches the Rfam family "Bacterial small subunit ribosomal RNA", at positions 28 to 507 of the family's 1533-position model. The record is from RNAcentral.
GACGAACGCUGGCGGCGUGCUUAGCACAUGCAAGUCGAACGGAAAGGCCCUGCUUUUGUGGGGUGCUCGAGUGGCGAACGGGUGAGUAACACGUGAGUAACCUGCCCUUGACUUUGGGAUAACUUCAGGAAACUGGGGCUAAUACCGGAUAGGAGCUCCUGCUGCAUGGUGGGGGUUGGAAAGUUUCGGCGGUUGGGGAUGGACUCGCGGCUUAUCAGCUUGUUGGUGGGGUAGUGGCUUACCAAGGCUUUGACGGGUAGCCGGCCUGAGAGGGUGACCGGCCACAUUGGGACUGAGAUACGGCCCAGACUCCUACGGGGGGCAGCAGUGGGGAAUAUUGCACAAUGGGCGGAAGCCUGAUGCAGCAACGCCGCGUGCGGGAUGACGGCCUUCGGGUUGUAAACCGCUUUCGCCUGUGACGAAGCGUGAGUGACGGUAAUGGGUAAAGAAGCACCGGCUAACUACGUG